GAACGCGACAGGGGCAACUCUGUUGGGUGGCGCACGGGUGAGUAACACGUAGGUAAUCUCCCCCCGAGUGGUGGAUAACUUUCCGAAAGGAGAGCUAAUACAGCAUAAGACCACGGCUUCGAAAGGAGCUGAGGUCAAAGCGGAGGAUCGCAAGACUUCGCGCUUGGGGAUGAGCCUGCGGCCCAUCAGGUAGUUGGCGGGGUAAUGGCCCACCAAGCCUUAGACGGGUAGCUGGUCUGAGAGGAUGAUCAGCCACACUGGAACUGAGACACGGUCCAGACUCCUACGGGAGGCAGCAGUGGGGAAUCUUGCGCAAUGGACGAAAGUCUGACGCAGCGACGCCGCGUGGGUGAUGAAGGCCUUCGGGUUGUAAAGCNCCUGUGGGGAGGGACGAAUAAGUUGCAGCUAAUACCUGCAGCGAUGACGGUACCUCCUUAGCAAGCACCGGCUAACUCUGUG
RNAcentral lists this ribosomal RNA (459 nucleotides) under uncultured bacterium. RNAcentral describes it as "bacterial SSU rRNA". It matches the Rfam family "Bacterial small subunit ribosomal RNA", at positions 64 to 507 of the family's 1533-position model. The record is from RNAcentral.